GGGGUGUAUCAUUGGCUUCCUGGAACCAAGUGUAAAAAGAUUAGUGCCCAAUAAUCAGCUCCCUGUGACAUCAGAGAAAUAAGUACCCUCAAUGAGGUUGCAUCAGCUCUGUCCUGAAUAUGGCAGUGGCAUGGGGGUUUUCUCAGCCUGUUCAUUGACCUGAUUCCUAAGAAAGAAUGAGUUGGACUGUAGUCCCAUUUUCCUGCUGUUGUAUAUCUAGAGAACCCCUGCUGCCGAAUAAGCAAGAUCAGAAAACUGGAACUCCAAGUGGCAACAUAGCAACCAAUUAGCUGGGCUUUGUGCAUCUAAAGGAGAGUGUCAUCUUUUACUUUGUGACAGUGGUUCUACAGCAAGAAAUAUGAGAGAGAUAAAAUGAUCUGCUGUCCAAGGCUGAAUUCACCACCAAGAGUUAAACUGCAGACCCUUCACUCUGAGGCCUCUCCUCUCAUCAGCUGGCAGUGAGCCAGUGAAAACAGAUCUGAGGCUAGCCACGAAGAGGAGCCCUUCAAAGAUAGCCUUCAAGCCGUGGGAUGCUUCAGAUUGUUUGUUCCCUGACUGACUCCUGGGGCAUGGAUAUUACUGCCCUAGCCCCUGCUGAGUGCUGCAACAGUUCAUAGCUGCUGCAGUUUAUAGCAGUGUGUGAAGCAAUGCAAAAAUAGACUCUGCUGCCAAGCUGCCUGGAUCAGAGGUGGAAUCAAAGUGUGUCUACAAUGAGUUUGUAUGUAACAGUCCAUCUGCACGUUUAUCAGCCAUCGACUGGUGCUUAGAAGCUUAAGGAGAAUCCUGCGUUAUUAUGGAAUACACAAAGCUGCUCUGAUAUGUACGUGCAGUCUCCUUUAAAUGUCCUGACACCACACAUUGAGAGGAACACAGUAAAUGCAGUCUUCUUUUUUACAA
This is a long non-coding RNA of Peromyscus eremicus (cactus mouse), 897 nucleotides long. RefSeq lists it as uncharacterized. The transcript has 2 exons. The record is from RefSeq and is a predicted model, not a curated record. Lineage: Eukaryota; Metazoa; Chordata; Mammalia; Rodentia; Cricetidae.